AUUGAACGCUGGCGGCAGGCUUAACACAUGCAAGUCGAGCGGGGGAAGGUAGCUUGCUACCGGACCUAGCGGCGGACGGGUGAGUAAUGCUUAGGAAUCUGCCUAUUAGUGGGGGACAACAUCUCGAAAGGGAUGCUAAUACCGCAUACGUCCUACGGGAGAAAGCAGGGGAUCUUCGGACCUUGCGCUAAUAGAUGAGCCUAAGUCGGACUAGCUAGUUGGUGGGGUAAAGGCCUACCAAGGCGACGAUCUGUAGCGGGUCUGAGAGGAUGAUCCGCCACACUGGGACUGAGACACGGCCCAGACUCCUACGGGAGGCAGCAGUGGGGAAUAUUGGACAAUGGGGGAACCCUGAUCCAGCCAUGCCGCGUGUGUGAAGAAGGCCUUAUGGCUGUAAAGCACUUUAAGCGAGGAGGAGGCUACUUUAGUUAAUACCUAGAGAUAGUGGACGUUACUCGCAGAAUAAGCACCGGCUAACUCUGUGCCAGCCGCCGCUGUAA
This 500-nucleotide ribosomal RNA is filed under the name uncultured bacterium. Its description in RNAcentral is "partial 16S ribosomal RNA". It matches the Rfam family "Bacterial small subunit ribosomal RNA", at positions 30 to 523 of the family's 1533-position model. The record is from RNAcentral.